RNAcentral lists this transfer RNA (72 nucleotides) under Urocitellus parryii (Arctic ground squirrel). RNAcentral describes it as "Spermophilus parryii (Arctic ground squirrel) tRNA". It matches the Rfam family "tRNA". Rfam says of the family: Transfer RNA (tRNA) molecules are approximately 80 nucleotides in length. Their secondary structure includes four short double-helical elements and three loops (D, anti-codon, and T loops). The record is from Rfam by way of RNAcentral. RNAcentral also lists the same sequence under 2 other names. Lineage: Eukaryota; Metazoa; Chordata; Mammalia; Rodentia; Sciuridae.
GGGUAUGUGGCUUAGCAGUAGAGUGCUUGCCUAUCAAGCAUAAGUCACUGGGUUUAAACCCCAGCAUACACA